AUCUGUGUUUGUGAAUUAUUUUAAGAGCUAUAUGAAGGCUGGGAAAAUUUUUCUUUGAGGUCUCUCACAAACCAGGAUAUAUUCUUGCACCGUUCGAUUUAAUGUUAAGAGAGUCCAUGUGAGGACAUGAGAAGAUGACCAUCUAUAAACAGGAAGAGACAUCUCACCAGAAGCCAACCCGAAGGCCCUUUUGAUCUUGAACUUCUAGCUUCCCAAACUGUUCCUGCUGAACAGAGAAGUUGCUGCAACAGCUAUAGCUUCAGAACAAUGUCACCUCUGCUACAAUCCACACCAGCAAAUGGAUGUGUGUGUUCUGCUUGCCUUUCUGCAACUUAUCUCCCCUCAGAAGUCAAGUCUCUCCUAAGUAUGUCUAAUAAAAAAAUGAAAACAUA
This is a long non-coding RNA of Suricata suricatta (meerkat), 392 nucleotides long. RefSeq lists it as uncharacterized. The record is from RefSeq and is a predicted model, not a curated record. Lineage: Eukaryota; Metazoa; Chordata; Mammalia; Carnivora; Herpestidae. The transcript has 3 exons.